Molecule: ribosomal RNA, 236 nt
Filed under: Roseomonas sp. BR-Subra-71
Lineage: Bacteria; Pseudomonadati; Pseudomonadota; Alphaproteobacteria; Acetobacterales; Roseomonadaceae
Description: partial 16S ribosomal RNA
Rfam family: Bacterial small subunit ribosomal RNA
Source: RNAcentral
GCUUAACACAUCAAGUCGCACGGGCAGCAAUGUCAGUGGCGGACGGGUGAGUAACGCGUAGGAACGUGUCCUGAGGUGGGGGACAACCCCGGGAAACUGGGGCUAAUACCGCAUAUGGGCUGAGGCCCAAAGCCAGAGGCCCUUUGGACGCCGCUCGAUUAUUAGUUGGUGGUAAGCUACCAAGCUGCGACUACCUGUUGAGAGACGACCACCACACUGGGAGAGACCGGCCAGAC